UGCGCGCGCCUGGGGCUCUCCCACAGGGGGCUUUCGUGAGCCAGGCAGCGAGGGCCGCCCCCGCGCUGCAGCCCAGCCAGGCCGCGCCGGCAGAGGGGAUCUCCCAACCUGCCCCGGCGCGCGGGGAUUUCGCCUACGCCGCCCCGGCUCCUCCGGACGGGGCGCUCUCCCACCCUCAGGCUCCUCGGUGGCCUCCGCACCCGGGCAAAAGCCGGGAGGACCGGGACCCGCAGCGCGACGGCCUGCCGGGCCCCUGCGCGGUGGCACAGCCUGGGCCCGCUCAAGCGGGGCCGCAGGGCCAAGGGGUGCUUGCGCCACCCACGUCCCAGGGGAGUCCGUGGUGGGGCUGGGGCCGGGGUCCCCAGGUCGCCGGGGCGGCGUGGGAACCCCAAGCCGGGGCAGCUCCACCUCCCCAGCCCGCGCCCCCGGACGCCUCCGCGCGGCAGGGGCAGAUGCAAGGCAUCCCGGCGCCCUCCCAGGCGCUCCAGGAGCCGGCGCCCUGGUCUGCACUCCCCUGCGGCCUGCUGCUGGAUGAGCUCCUGGCGAGCCCGGAGUUUCUGCAGCAGGCGCAACCUCUCCUAGAAACGGAGGCCCCGGGGGAGCUGGAGGCCUCGGAAGAGGCCGCCUCGCUGGAAGCACCCCUCAGCGAGGAAGAAUACCGGGCUCUGCUGGAGGAGCU
Molecule: long non-coding RNA, 679 nt
Filed under: Homo sapiens (human)
Lineage: Eukaryota; Metazoa; Chordata; Mammalia; Primates; Hominidae
Description: non-protein coding lnc-CYP2E1-3:1
Source: RNAcentral